This 375-nucleotide ribosomal RNA is filed under the name uncultured bacterium. RNAcentral describes it as "bacterial SSU rRNA". It matches the Rfam family "Bacterial small subunit ribosomal RNA", at positions 523 to 898 of the family's 1533-position model. The record is from RNAcentral.
AUACGUAGGGUGCGAGCGUUAAUCGGAAUUACUGGGCGUAAAGGGUGCGCAGGCGGUUGUGCAAGACAGGCGUGAAAUCCCCGGGCUUAACCUGGGAAUGGCGCUUGUGACUGCACGGCUAGAGUGUGUCAGAGGGGGGUAGAAUUCCACGUGUAGCAGUGAAAUGCGUAGAUAUGUGGAGGAAUACCGAUGGCGAAGGCAGCCCCCUGGGAUAACACUGACGCUCAUGCACGAAAGCGUGGGGAGCAAACAGGAUUAGAUACCCUGGUAGUCCACGCCCUAAACGAUGUCAACUAGUUGUCGCGUCUUAACUGACUUGGUAACGCAGCUAACGCGUGAAGUUGACCGCCUGGGGAGUACGGUCGCAAGAUUAAA